GAUGAACGCUGGCGGCAGGCUUAACACAUGCAAGUCGAACGCCCCGCAAGGGGAGUGGCAGACGGGUGAGUAACGCGUGGGAAUCUACCGUGCCCUGCGGAAUAGCUCCGGGAAACUGGAAUUAAUACCGCAUACGCCUACGGGGAAGAUUUAUCGGGGUAUGAUGAGCCCGCGUUGGAUUAGCUAGUUGGUGGGGUAAA
This 200-nucleotide ribosomal RNA is filed under the name uncultured bacterium. RNAcentral's name for it is "partial 16S ribosomal RNA". It matches the Rfam family "Bacterial small subunit ribosomal RNA", at positions 28 to 261 of the family's 1533-position model. The record is from RNAcentral.